RNAcentral lists this transfer RNA (74 nucleotides) under [Clostridium] symbiosum. RNAcentral's name for it is "tRNA-Lys". It matches the Rfam family "tRNA". From Rfam's summary of the family: Transfer RNA (tRNA) molecules are approximately 80 nucleotides in length. Their secondary structure includes four short double-helical elements and three loops (D, anti-codon, and T loops). Further hydrogen bonds mediate the characteristic L-shaped molecular structure. tRNAs have two regions of fundamental functional importance: the anti-codon, which is responsible for specific mRNA codon recognition, and the 3' end, to which the tRNAs corresponding amino acid is attached (by aminoacyl-tRNA synthetases). tRNAs cope with the degeneracy of the genetic code in two manners: having more than one tRNA (with a specific anti-codon) for a particular amino acid; and 'wobble' base-pairing, i.e. permitting non-standard base-pairing at the 3rd anti-codon position. Lineage: Bacteria; Bacillati; Bacillota; Clostridia; Lachnospirales; Lachnospiraceae. RNAcentral also lists the same sequence under 15 other names. The record is from RNAcentral.
GCGCCUUUAGCUCAGUUGGUAGAGCAGUAGACUCUUAAUCUAUUUGUCCAGGGUUCGAGUCCCUGAAGGCGCAC